CCGUCGCCAUCUUGGCAGCGCCACGUGUGUCGUCAUUCCUGGAAAAUUGAAAAAUGGGCAAAGAGGUGGAGCUGAGAGGGGGACUGUGAAGGUGGGGGUGGAUGAUUGACACCCAUCAAACUUCGAGCUGCCUGUAGCUAAGAGCUAACCGAGCUAACGGUAGCUAACCAGCUAAUGGAAGUAGGCGGGCUAAAGAUAAGGCACGGCUGUUUGUGCUGCACUCUCCCUUCUUCAAUUAUCCUUUCUUGAUAUAGGACUGAUCACGAAUGACGUCAAAAUGCUAUUUUUAGAACAGCGUACUGCGCAGGCGCCGCCGCCAUAUUGGAUUCGGACAAACAACCUGUAGAGCGUGUAUACUGUGUUUGUACGAGCAAAGUUGCAUUCCGAAUAGCCGAAUAUUUCUUUAACAAAACCAUUAUGGUAACAACUAAACACUGCUGCUUCGGUGUCUGCCGAAGUGACUCGCAAUAUAGUGACCGUGAACAUAUGAAGGGAGUGUUUUUCAUUCCAUUUCCAAAGCCCGGAAGAGAACCAGAGAAAUGCCAACGUUGGGUACGAGCUUGUAAACGGGAGGGAUUCACUGAGAAAAAUGUGACAAAGGAUACAUACAUUUGCUCUCUGCAUUUCCUCGGUGGAAAAGGGCCAACAAUUGAUGAUCCAGACCCAAUACCAGCAACAACAACAUCUGGACAGGUGGAGAAAAUAGCCCGCAAAAGGAAAGCUCCUACCCAAAGAAAUGAGGCUGUUUCUGAAGCAAAGAGAAAGAGGAAAAGAUUGACCCACAACAACACUCCAUCGUCCAUUAAUUGUAAUAGAAAUGAAGUUCAAAUAAAAACAUUUCAGAUGCA
Melanotaenia boesemani (Boeseman's rainbowfish) is the source of this 848-nucleotide long non-coding RNA. RefSeq lists it as uncharacterized. NCBI's taxonomy places the organism in Eukaryota, Metazoa, Chordata, Actinopteri, Atheriniformes, Melanotaeniidae. The transcript has 2 exons. The record is from RefSeq and is a predicted model, not a curated record.